This is a long non-coding RNA of Cyprinus carpio (common carp), 405 nucleotides long. NCBI's taxonomy places the organism in Eukaryota, Metazoa, Chordata, Actinopteri, Cypriniformes, Cyprinidae. The record is from Ensembl.
AUGGAGGGAGAUGUCCUGCGUCUACAUCCAGGAGUUCCUGAACUGAAGGAAGACAUUCAAAUACUGUGGUCUUACGAGAAUGACAAUCGAAGCACUCGUGUGGCACAGAUGUAUCAAGGGAAAGUUUACACCCAUUAUGAUGAGAGAUUCAGUGGCAGAGUCCAGCUAGACCAGAAGACUGGAGCACUGACCAUCUCAAACAUCAGGACCAAUGAAUCAGGACCGUUUGAAGCAUUCAUUGUUAUUAACACACAGAUCUCAAAACGAAAGUUCAACGUUGAUGUAUAUGCGAUCUCAUCGGUUACUGUGCGACAAUCUACAGAUUGUCCAGACUGUUGUGGCAUCACUAAGGCUCUGAUCCAUCUGGUUGUGGCUGGUCUGGUGUUUCUGUCAGAUUUGGUGUAG